GCGGGGCUGCCCUUCACGUUUACGAGAACAAUGCCCGGGGCCUUAUCGAUCCGGAAGGGAGCUGUCCCUGUUUAGGCUCGUGGGUCUUUACAUACGGCGCCCACCUACACUUGUAGGUUCCCGGCAUCGGUUCCUCCGACGGUCUGGGCGGCUCCGCA
Molecule: non-coding RNA, 158 nt
Filed under: Hyphomicrobiales bacterium
Lineage: Bacteria; Pseudomonadati; Pseudomonadota; Alphaproteobacteria; Hyphomicrobiales
Description: Rhizobiales bacterium (beach sand metagenome) 6S RNA
Rfam family: 6S / SsrS RNA
About the family: E. coli 6S RNA was the first non coding RNA to be sequenced, but its function was unknown until recently. It consists of 184 nucleotides that fold into an extended hairpin structure with a large single-stranded internal bulge. The 6S RNA specifically associates with RNA polymerase holoenzyme containing the sigma70 specificity factor.
Source: RNAcentral